Harpia harpyja (harpy eagle) is the source of this 3143-nucleotide RNA transcript. It is a transcript of the gene named CKLF like MARVEL transmembrane domain containing 4, with no coding region annotated. The transcript is spliced from 7 exons. The record is from RefSeq and is a predicted model, not a curated record. NCBI's taxonomy places the organism in Eukaryota, Metazoa, Chordata, Aves, Accipitriformes, Accipitridae.
GCGGCGGCAGCGUCCCCGCUCGGAGCUCAGCUGCCCUGCCCUGCCGGGACCGGGGGAGCGGAGCGGAGCUGGAGCGAGCCGCGGGGUGGCCGCGCCGCCGGGGGGGUUGAGGGCGCCCCGGCGGUCUCGUCCCAGCCGGAGCGCGGGCCGGGCGCGCCGCGGCGGCCCCCGGCGCCCCUCGGUGGGGCGAGGGCGCCCCCGAGCGGCGGGGCGCUGAGCGCGGCGCUGAGGGCUGCCCGCGCACCGCCGCUCUCCCUCCUCCUCCUCCUCCUCCUCCUCCUCCCGCGCGGGGCCGGGGCUGAGGCGGCGGCAGGCGGGCCGGGGCAGAGCAGCAUGCUGCCUUCGCUCUCCCCGCGCCGCUCCGCCUGACGGGGGACGGGGGGAGCCAUGCAGCCGGCGCUCCGCUAGGUGAGCGCGGCGCGGCUCGGCUCGGGCCGGAGCUCCGCGGGCAGCCCCUCAGCAGCGCGGCGGCACCGGCACCAUGAGGAACGGCGAUGACCUGGAGGGCUUCGACGGCGAGGCGUCCAGCACCUCCAUGAUCUCGGGGGCCAGCAGUCCCUACCAGCCCACGACGGAGCCCGUCAGCCAGCGCCGCGGGCUGGGCGGCCUCCGCUGCGACCUGGACUACCUGCGGGGCACCUUCGGCAGGAUCAAGCUGGCCGAGGUGGUUUUGGCACUGAUUGCAUUCAUCUGCAUAGAGACCAUCAUGGAAUGCUCCCCUUGCGAAGGCCUUUAUUUCUUUGAGUUUGUGAGCUGUAGUGCAUUGGUGGUUACUGGAGUUCUGUUGCUUAUGUUCAGUCUAAAUCUUCACACAAGAAUACCGCAGAUCAACUGGAAUCUUACUGAUCUGGUCAACACUGGACUCAGCACUUUCUUCUUUUUCAUUGCCUCUGUAGUACUUGCUGCUUUAAACCAUAAAACUGGAGCAGAAAUUGCUGCUGUGAACAGAUGGAUGAGUAAGAUACUGUCUCAAAGCACAAAUCCUACAAGAAACUUGACUCUUCUGAAGUCAGGACAAGAGCUCAUUUCCCCUUCUGACAGGUGGAGUGCAUGGACUCCCUGAGCAAUAUUGGAUACUAUCCAUUACUGUCUUUUCUGAAUUAUAAAAAGGCUUUCUUUUUCCCUUGGGAUUACAUCCUCAGCACUGAUAGCAGCUAGGAGUUGGAAUUGUUCCUGCGCUGCUGUUGAAGGGAGAACAGACCCACUGCAGCCCGUCAGGGACGAUGCAGAGGCCGGGGAGGCAGCUGACAUCAUUGCACGCUGCUACACGUGCCCUGGUGCCCUCCGCUCGCUGCUCCGUGCGGUCAAAUGCCUGCUCCUCAUUUCCCCUCCACAGAAAAGCACAAGUUUGCUUAAACAGUUUGAAAAGUGGCUAGUGGUGAUCUCUUUUGGAUAAGAGUGCAUUUUGUUAUUGUUUAUUGGCAGAGAGAGAAAGUAGAUCAUUUGGUGGUCUCUGCUAUUUAGUUACUUCUCCGUCGUACUUGUCAUGGAGGUGAAGUUCUUGGUUCGCCCAGAAUUAGCUGCAAGGGUUGCCCUCUGGCUACAGACCCAGAGAAAGGCCCAGGGGUCGUCUUCGAAGGAGGCUUUACACAGAACAGCUGGAAGUUUCAGUUAUGAAGGUCAGUUCAGAGAAGACUGAAAAAACAGAAGACAGGAAAAGAGGAGAAAAAUAGGCACAAUGAUUUCUGCAUCUGUUGUGUCACCACAGAGGUGACACAACCUUAUACAGGACAACCUUACAUAUUCAUAUUACAUUUUUAUUAAAAAAAUAUGUAGUCCCACUGCAUACUGGCUUCAGAGGACUAAGGAGAUGCCAAUUAAAGUAGUCACCAGGACAAAUGCAAAAGCUUGACUGAAGUAGCUGGGGUGAGCAGCAGAAUGUAUAAAUGUGGAUCUUGUCUGGACAAGCUCUGGUGGCAGGUAUGAGAGUGGCUGUUAAAUGGUUCCAGCAUGGGAGAGAGGGAACUGAAAAAUGCUUCUUUUAACGGGGGAAAAGAGCAUGGAUGAGAUGCUGACCUUCAAGACAGCAACUUGAGUAUUUAGGAAAAAUGAGUUGCUUAAGAGGAGUGUUAAAAUAUAUGGAAGAAAUAAUGGUGUGGGGAAAGAACAGAAAGGAAAAAAGGAGGAGGAAAAAAAUUAACCUGGGAGAUAAAGACUGGUCAUUAGAAAGUGGACAAGCAAGUGAAUGAGAAUAAAUAGGAUCAGGAGAGACAGCAAAGCUUAUACAUGUACUUGAUGCUACUACUACUUUGUGGCUGCGUAGCUCUCCCAGGUGGGAUAAAAAAUUAGUAAGGCAAGAAGAUCAAAAGGAAAAGGAACAGGGGGUGGAAACUUCCUUCUCUGAAUAAAAUUUGAGAUUAUAAUUAAGCUUCUAGCAGUAAUCAGCUUCAUCACCAGUGUAACUUGUUCUAGAGGAAGCACCAGAAUGCCCAGACCUGAGAGCCCACAGAGCAGUUUACACGCCGACAUGACAAUUACACCCAAAUGUUGUAAAGAUCCAUACUCACUUCAUGUGAAAAUAUGUGUAAAUGUUAUUUUUAAAAAUAAGUGGCUACAGCAGUUUCCUUCAGUCUGACCAAAGCAAUCCUCGCUGGCAGCGCUGAGCUCCCACGCUCCCGGUGCAGCUGCCUGCGUGACCUUCCCUGGGACGCCCUGAGCCGCAAUGCGGGCACCAGUGCUCCCAGCCGCCUCCAGCAGCGCAAGCGAAGGGAACGGGCUGGCGUGAAUGUGGCAGCUGUCUUAAUUCACAAAGACUGAGUCGGUCUGCUAUAACUUACGACAGCUGAACCGAUCGUUUGCCAGCCACUUCUACUGGGCGAAACAAGACUUUUUAAUGAGGUUGCUCCCACCAAGUACACACCAAGCACGGUAACUGGGCUGAGGGAAUUUGCUGAAGCCAACUCCCGUUCCCUUUCUGCCAUAGACCGAAAAAAAGAAGUAUAACUGUCUACCCCAGUCAAGAUAUGGUUGUAAAUUGCUUCUUUGGUAAUAUAUUUUUCAGUAUAUGGUGGUUUGCUUUUUGAAUGUUGAAAAAAAUGACUUGGCGUUUCCUUCAGCUGGACUGAGAACCUCUGAUGUACCCGCAGAGAUUGCCAGUAUUUGCAUGACUUUAAAGAUGGAGAAAUAAAGCACAUUUCUCGUGA